Molecule: ribosomal RNA, 254 nt
Filed under: uncultured bacterium
Lineage: Bacteria
Description: partial 16S ribosomal RNA
Rfam family: Bacterial small subunit ribosomal RNA
Source: RNAcentral
UACGUAGGGUGCAAGCGUUAAUCGGAAUUACUGGGCGUAAAGCGUGCGCAGGCGGUUUUGUAAGUCAGAUGUGAAAUCCCCGGGCUUAACCUGGGAACUGCGUUUGAAACUACAAGGCUAGAGUGUGACAGAGGGGGGUGGAAUUCCACGUGUAGCAGGUGAAAUGCGUAGAGAUGUGGAGGAACACCGAUGGCGAAGGCAGCCCCCUGGGUUAACACUGACGCUCAGGCACGAAAGCGUGGGGAGCAAACAGG